RNAcentral lists this long non-coding RNA (5542 nucleotides) under Sus scrofa (pig). RNAcentral describes it as "lncRNA (ENSSSCG00000059299.1, ENSSSCG00090001332.1, ENSSSCG00160013503.1, ENSSSCG00175014634.1)". Lineage: Eukaryota; Metazoa; Chordata; Mammalia; Artiodactyla; Suidae. The record is from RNAcentral.
UUUUCCCUCACUGUCCACAUGAAUCCACAUACUUUAUAUACCAAUAAAUGACACGUUGUGACUUUUAUCCUGUUAUAAAAAUAAUACCUGUCCUAAUAUUUAUUCAGUGCUUAGAAGACGAGGUAAGAUGCAAAUACUACAGAAAAAAAGAUCAUGUGGAAAGAGAAGCUCUCCUGUAAAUCUGCACCCAACAGCCUCUAAUACCUUUAAACCAAUCAAGGCUUCUUCUUGCCAGGUUGUCAUGGCUCGACUCUCUAGCCUCCAUAUCCUUCUUCUCUUUCAGCUCCAAUCUGCUGUUUGAAGUUUCUGCCCCACUCCUCCCAGGGGCCCAGCAACCCCGGCGCCUAGUCAUGAUCAGAAGCACUAGUCUUACUGUGUAUUUAUUACCGCUCUUUUUUUUAGGGCUGCACCUGAGGUAUAUGGAAGUUCCCAGGCUAGGGGUCGAAUAAGAGCUACAGCUGCCGGCUUACACCACAGCCAUGGCAACACCAGAUCCUGGACCCAUUAAGCGAGGCCAGGGAUCGAACCCCCAUCCUCAUGGAUACUAGUCAGGUUUGUUAGCACUGAUGCCAUGACGGGAACUCCUAUUCUCACUUUUUUUAAGUGCUGAUAACAACUCUGGCUUCUCUCCACCUGCUUUCUUAAAGGUUAAUAAAGCUGAGUUUUGUGAGUCUCUUAAAAGCAAGGUACCAUACAAAUGCCAAAUAUGACAGGUUUCCUUUACUGUCUGCCCCCUCAUCACAGCUUGCCAGAAAGAAAAAAAAAGAAAAAAGUUCCUAUAGGCGCAUUCCCACAGCCAUCACUCCUGCUACUACAGCGGCGAAUCAUGGGCACCUGCUCAAUACAGUGAUGGUGCCAGCAUGAAAUGAUCAUGAUCAUUUUAUUCCAGAGACCAAGGCCUGCAAGUCUGAUCAAGAGCUGAAGAGCGAGGACGGGACAUGGGAAAAGCUUGCCAAAAUUUCACGUGGGUGGCCCCGGCAGCCAGGACAUAGGACACCCUCCUCCCCAGCCUCAGAGAGUCCCUGGAUUACCUGCACGCCCAAGAGCAGUCUCUCCUGAGAAGAUGCUAUCAAACAGCUUCAAAUAACUAAAGCCCUCUAUCCAAUUCUCAUCAGGACCUUAUGACCUACCUAAACUUGGCAGCGUCACAAGGCGUUAAUUUUAUGACAGCCAUUCUUUGACAAAAACUAACAGGGAUAUAGGAAAUGGCCAAAAAAGGAAGGGCAAUGCACAAAGCAGGGCAGGCCAGACUUAGUGAAAGACAAAAUCAGCUUCAUCUAAGGCUCUACAUAUGGUUGCCCUUUUCAAGUGGCUGCAACACAGCCCUUAGAUGGUGACCUGAAGGCCCAACAGACACCCAGAGGGUGCAUUCUACUGCAAAAUCCUCGUUUUACAGAUGGAAAAACUGAGACCCAAAGAAGUGGGUCCCAAGGUCACACAGUAAAUUUAAGUAGUGAACAAUGCUGGUCCACAGAGCAAGUCUUGGGAGGCCCUGGUUGGCGGUCUUUUCACCAAAUCCCACCAGACCCUCUACCAUGGAAAGUACAUCACUCUGCCUCUGACAAACCAUUUCAACUGAAAGAAAUGCCAUCAACACAUAUCAACAUGCAGAAUAUGCACUAGUAACAUAAAAUUAAAAUGGGUAAGCUGGGCUUAUCUUUACAUUUAAAUUAAAUUUACAUUUAAACUAAUUUGUUGGUAGUACAACAUUGUUGAAAAUAAAUGAACAUAAAAAACAUAAAAUAGUUUUUAAAUCUGGAUGGAAGCAUCUUAAAAACAUUCAAAUCAGUUAAGACAUGCUGUUCCAAUCAAAUCUUAUUCUAAAUAACAAGUUAAAUAUGUUUUACAAGAGAAUUCUUAUUGAAUAAUAAUGAAACCAGUUGAAGACAGUCUCAUAAAAGAGAAAACUUAAAAGUUCUAUGGCUGGAGUUCCCAUUGUGGCACAGUGGAAAUAAUCCAACUAGGAACCAUGAGGUUGAGGGUUCGAUCCCUGGCAGUGGGUUGAGGAUCUGGUGUUGCCGUGAGCUGUGGUGUAGGUUGCAGAUGUGGCUCAGAUCCGGUGUUGCUGUGGCCAGCAGCUGUGGCUCUGAUUAGACCCCUCGCCUGGGACCUUCCAUGUGCUGCAGGUACUGCCCUAAAAAAUAAAUAAAUAAAUAAAUAAAAAGUUCUACUGCUGUGCCAGCAAAGGACUAUCCACCUCCUCAGAGGGAUUUUCUUGGGAAGCUGACAUUUAUGUCAAAGAUACCAACACAUAAGAUAGUAUAUGUAAGAAGCUAAAUAUCAGGCUUGACGCAUAGUAAGUACUGAACAAAUGCUAGCUGCCUUAACUUGGGAUAGGAAAAUAAGUACCACCCGCAUAACCAGUAAUACCUUCCUAUAACACCUUCCUAGUGCUCACUCUGGCAGCACAUUUAAAAUACUUUCCUAAAAGUCUUGUCUUUGUGCACCUGGAAAAAUUUAUGGUGCAUAGGACAAAGCUUGCAUUUUUUUUUUCUUUUUACGACUGCUCCUGUGGCACAUGGAAAUUCCCAGGCUAGGGGUCUAAUCAGAGCUGCAGCUGCUGGCCAAUGCCACAGCCCCAGCAACACCAGAUCUGAGCCGCAUCCGUGACCUACGCCACAGCUUGAGGCAACAGUGGAUCCAUAACCCACUGAGCAAGGCAGGGAUGAAUCCACAUCCUCACGGACACUAUGCUGGGUUCAUGACACGCUGAGCCACAAGGGGAACCCCAGGUACUGAAUAUUUUAAAGGUAUAACUGUAGGCGGUGUAGAGAGACAACAUUCCAUUUCUCUUAAAAGACACUUAGACAUCCCGAAACCAGGGUAAUCAACAUAACACUGUUCUAGGACAAUGGUGAGUCUUUCAGUAUUAAUUCCAGCUGUUAUUGAAAAGAAAAAAAAAAAUGGAUGCUUUUCGUUGCUUCUCUGGCAGCAAGAAAAGAAAAUAGUCAUCAGAAAGUUGAAACAUGACAUAAAAAGAGUAAUAACUAUUUGGAGUUUCUGUCAUGGCACAGUGGGUUAAGAAUCUGUGGUGGCUCAGGUCUCUUUGGAGGCAGACGUUCAAUCCCCAGCCUGGCGGUGUGUUAAAGGAUCCAUAGCUGCAGCAUGGGUCAGGAUUGGCCCAGAAACUUCCAUAUGCCAUGAGUACAGGCCACUAUUAAAAGAAGAAAACAAAACAAAGGAGUUCCCACUGCAGCCCAGCAGGUUAAGGACCUGACAUUGUCUCUGCAAGGAUUUGGGUCCAUUCCCUGGCCUUGCUCAGUGGGUUAAGGAUCUGCUGUUGCCACAAGCUAUGGCAUAAUUCCCAGAUAUGGCUCGGAGCCGGUGUUGCCAUGGCUGUGGUAUAGGCCAGCAACUGCAGCUCCCAUUCAACCCCAAGUCUAGGACCUUCCAUAUGCCACAGGUUAUUCUUAUUACUAACCUGGUAGCAUGGCAGAAGAGUCUAAGGUGCUGGAUUAAGCAUUCUUAUUACUCCAGUUAAAAAAGCCAGCCUUUUACACUUUAGCUCAUGGAGUUUUUCCUCUACCACUUUAUAAAAGUUUCAUUGAAUGGAAUUGCGCUGGCUCCUUACAGGUGAAUUAUUUACUUAAAAGUAUCCUUUUCAAGAGAGAAUAAAAGUAGAAGUAAACACCUUCCCUGAGAAAGAUCUCAACUUUAGAGUCCUUUCUCAAAAGCUCUGAGCAAAUAUCCAGACCAACCCCAGCCUGUGAAGACCCUGAGUGAUUUUUCGAGGUCAUACAGUAAUCCCAUGACCAAAGCACAGCUACAGAAAUCGUGCAUCUGCUUCCCCAGGUGUUCUGACUCCCAGCCCAUUGUACUCUACCGCCACCUGUGUUCUCCCAGCAUUUCCCCCGUGUGGCGGUUCCUCAUCCUUUCAACAAAUGUCAUCCUUUCAAAACAGAGCCAUUUCGAGGACUCUGUGAGUUCCGAUAAACAACUGCUGAACAAAUCCUGCUUUCAAGCUACAAGCUGAAAACAUAACAAAGCAGCUACCUAAAUUCACAAAGAAAUCCCCCUUCCUGAAAGCCCAGCUACAGGAAUUCAGAGAUUCUUAAUUAUCAUGGCCAUUUGAGGACAAGAUUUGAAAUCUAAAUCCACGACAAGGAAAAAAAAAAAAAAAGAAAAGACUUAAGAGACCCAAAUUCAGAACAAUGGAUCAGGAUGCCACUGUUUGCUUUUUUUAAAUCAGUGAAAUAUUAAAACACAUGACAAACCAACGCCAACCUCACAAAGUUUCCUCAUUUCCUGGGAUUCAACCACCACUGCUGGCAUCAUGUUAUGGUAACCCCUUAAGUAGUUUACCUAUCAGGUGCAAGGUAAAGGCAGUGACUGAGGAACUUCUUAAACAACACUGUGCCCAGUCUUGUCUGAGCUUCCAACACUGACCUUAUUCUCCUCUUAACGUUGGCCCUCCCCGGCCACUCAAUCCAUCACAAACCCUCUGUAACAGUUGUGGCUCUAAACUGCGCAGAACUUGACUACAAAUCGGCCACAACUCUAGAUCUGAUUUCUCCAAUUUACUAUUUGUUUAAAUUCAAGUCCCAAGCCCCCUUGGCUCUUCGUCCCCGACCUCUCGGUUCUAGAUCUCUCAGCCGACGUCAAGAUCACCUUUCAUUGUUUCUGUGGGACUCCGCAUCCCUCCCUCCGCCCAGCAAUGUUUUCAUCGCACAAAUGUCAUUUCUAGCGUUCAACCCUCCAUUCCGCCCGGCGGGCAGCAGAGGGGAUUCCUGAUUCGGUCCCCUUCGCACAGCCAUUUUCUAGUUAAAACGCUCCCUGCCUCUGAAGGGGAAAUGAACUUUUCCCCCUUGAUCUUGCAGCGGCUAAGCUCUGAACCCCUAGAAAAGCCAGCCGGGUCUUCAACUCCCCCGCAGGAGCGCACUGCCGCCCGGGGAGGAAGAGCCCAGCCGCACAGCGGAGGCCAGUGCCAGGGCAAGGGGGUGUGCGCUCUUCCCCGCCGGCGCCCACCCUCACUUUUCCCUUCCGCAGCCCCCACCCCGGCGCAGCCCCUCCAAUCCUGUCUCCCCGCCCAGGCCCUGCCAAGCCCCCGGCUGCGGAGGGAAAGGGGGCGCCGAGAAGCGGGAGUGAUGGAGUCAAGGAGUGAGCCCGCAGUCACCGUGCCACCCGGCCCUGCGGCGCGGGCGCAGGGCGCACGGGACUCCGCAGCGGACGCCCGCUGCAGAUGCGUGGCAGCUGCUGCAGCUGUGGCUGCGGCUGAGCGGGCAGACGGCAGCAGCCGCGCAGACCUCGGGGGCCGGGAGGAGAGGAGCAGCCGCCCGGGCUACUUGCCGCACGCCGCUGCCGCUGCCCAGGUCUCCCGCCAGCACUCCCGGGCCGCCCAGGAGUCCAGAGCAAAAGCAAGGAAGAAAGCGGGGCUCACCGGUGGUGCGCGCGGCGCUCUCCUCGGCUCCGGCACCCGGCAGCUCUGCUCCAGUCUCGCCCUGCCCGGAGCGCCACGAUCAGCUGCGGGUGCAGCGCACGAGCUUCCUACUUGAGACCAAGACGGGCUCCGGCAACUGAGCAUGCCCAGUGCCGCUCCGCGAGU